UAAGUAGGACAAAUGAUCGCGGCCGUACCCGGUACGGCUGAGGAAAGUCCGGGCUCCAUAGGGCAGGAUGCCGGAUAACGUCCGGUGGAGGCGACUCCAAGGCCAGUGCAACAGAAAAUAAACCGCCUCGGAUUUAUUCCGGGGGAAGGGUGGAAUGGCAGUGUAAGAGACUACCGCCGUCCCGGUAACGGGACGGGCUGUGUAAACCCCAUCCGGAGCAAGACCAAACAGAGAGCGACAGAUCGGCCCGAUCUGCUUUCAGGUAGGUUGCUGGAGCGUCCCGGCAACGGGACGUCGAGAUAGAUGAUCAUUCACGACAUAACCCGGCUUAUCGUUCUGCUUAUUUU
Molecule: RNase P RNA, 347 nt
Filed under: Lachnospiraceae bacterium
Lineage: Bacteria; Bacillati; Bacillota; Clostridia; Lachnospirales; Lachnospiraceae
Description: RNase P RNA component class A
Rfam family: Bacterial RNase P class A
About the family: Ribonuclease P (RNase P) is a ubiquitous endoribonuclease, found in archaea, bacteria and eukarya as well as chloroplasts and mitochondria.
Source: RNAcentral